UUCGACUUCCAAGGAGAACACUUGGGUACCAAUGAAAAAGUUCACAACUACUUUGGUAUCGGGCUUAUGUUGGUCUCCCUUCUAACAGUCGCAAGCUAUUCCCGAA
RNAcentral lists this small RNA (106 nucleotides) under Drosophila simulans. Its description in RNAcentral is "partial mlncRNA42E5-2". The record is from RNAcentral. Lineage: Eukaryota; Metazoa; Arthropoda; Insecta; Diptera; Drosophilidae.